AAUCCAGAAAUGCGGCAGGAUGGUUAAAAACUCCGCCAGGUCCGAAAGGAAGCAACGGUAUUAAUUCUGAUUGUGCGCGUUCUCCUGGAUUACC
RNAcentral lists this signal recognition particle RNA (94 nucleotides) under Candidatus Acidulidesulfobacter guangdongensis. Its description in RNAcentral is "Candidatus Acididesulfobacter guangdongensis signal recognition particle sRNA small type". It matches the Rfam family "Bacterial small signal recognition particle RNA". Rfam says of the family: The signal recognition particle (SRP) is a universally conserved ribonucleoprotein involved in the co-translational targeting of proteins to membranes. Archaeal SRP consists of a 7S RNA and homologues of the eukaryotic SRP19 and SRP54 proteins. The record is from RNAcentral. Lineage: Bacteria; Candidatus Acidulodesulfobacteriota; Candidatus Acidulidesulfobacterales; Candidatus Acidulidesulfobacteraceae.